Long non-coding RNA from Hippopotamus amphibius kiboko, 583 nucleotides. RefSeq lists it as uncharacterized. The record is from RefSeq and is a predicted model, not a curated record. Lineage: Eukaryota; Metazoa; Chordata; Mammalia; Artiodactyla; Hippopotamidae. The transcript is spliced from 3 exons.
GUCAGGCCUCCAGCCUCCUUCCUCACUUUGUUCAGGGCUGCAUCCUGAGGCUGGAGCCCCUCUCCAGGCCCUGAGACCCAGCUGCACAGGAGACCAAGUCCUGCUCUGCAGAGAAUGUAUCCUCCUUGCCCGACAAGGACCCUCAGUGGCUGAGCAGUGGAGAUCCAGACUUGGAGGUGUUCACAAGUGGAACCACAGAGACUGAAACACCAGAUACCCAGUGGUAACUUGCAGGAGAUCCUAGGAACAGAAGCUUUGUCAUCAGAUAUCUUGGCCCAAAAGACUAAAAUUAUUGCCAUCACUUGACCUUUACAUCUCAGUGAAGGUAAGAAAGCUAACAUCUAUACUGACUCAAAAUAUACCUUUUCAAUUGUCAGAGCACAUGGGGCAAUUUGGAAAGAUAGAUUGCUCACAUCUGAAAGAAAAGAAAUCAAACAUGCCCCCAAGAAGUUUUGAAACUGCUAGAUGCAGUGCUCAAGCCAAAGGAGGCAGCAGUUGUGCAUUGCCCAGGACAGCCAGGAUAAAAACACCUUUGGCUAUACCUCUGUUCUUAAGUACAGACCUGACCCAAUUUAGUUUGACA